Molecule: ribosomal RNA, 305 nt
Filed under: uncultured bacterium
Lineage: Bacteria
Description: bacterial SSU rRNA
Rfam family: Bacterial small subunit ribosomal RNA
Source: RNAcentral
UUCCUACGGGGGGCAGCAGUGGGGAAUAUUGCGCAAUGGGGGCAACCCUGACGCAGCAACGCCGCGUGAUUGAAGAAGGCCUUCGGGUUGUAAACUUCUUUUCUCAGGGACGAAGAAAGUGACGGUACCUGAGGAAUAAGCCACGGCUAACUACGUGCCAGCAGCCGCGGUAAUACGUAGGUGGCAAGCGUUGUUCGGAAUAACUGGGCGUAAAGGAUGCGUAGGCGGUUAAACAAGUUAUAUGUUAAAUAUAUAGGCUUAACCUGUAGAAAGCAUAUAAAACUGUUUAACUAGAGUGCAGGAGA